CGGGAUAACAGAGGGAAACUUCUGAUAAUACUGGAUAAGUUAGUAUAUCGCAUGAUAUACAAAUGAAAGCUACGGCACUAAAGGAGAGCUUUGCGUCCUAUUAGCUAGUUGGUAAGGUAAGAGCUUACCAAGGCGAUGAUAGGUAGCCGGCCUGAGAGGGUGGACGGCCACAAGGGGACUGAGAUACGGCCCUUACUCCUACGGGAGGCAGCAGGC
RNAcentral lists this ribosomal RNA (216 nucleotides) under uncultured Leptotrichia sp. Its description in RNAcentral is "partial 16S ribosomal RNA". It matches the Rfam family "Bacterial small subunit ribosomal RNA", at positions 139 to 354 of the family's 1533-position model. Lineage: Bacteria; Fusobacteriati; Fusobacteriota; Fusobacteriia; Fusobacteriales; Leptotrichiaceae. The record is from RNAcentral.